CCGCGCAUAGCUCAGCCUGGUAGAGCAGUUGCCUUUUAAGCAAACGGUCGGGGGUUCAAAUCCCUCUGCGCGGACCA
This 77-nucleotide transfer RNA is filed under the name Candidatus Komeilibacteria bacterium CG10_big_fil_rev_8_21_14_0_10_41_13. RNAcentral describes it as "tRNA-Lys". It matches the Rfam family "tRNA". Rfam says of the family: Transfer RNA (tRNA) molecules are approximately 80 nucleotides in length. Their secondary structure includes four short double-helical elements and three loops (D, anti-codon, and T loops). Lineage: Bacteria; Candidatus Komeiliibacteriota. The record is from RNAcentral.